UGGGGGAUAUUGCACAAUGGGCGAAAGCCUGAUGCAGCGACGCCGCGUGGGGGAUGAAGGCUUUCGGGUUGUAAACCUCUUUCGCUAUCGAACAAGGCCCGCUUAGGGUGGGUUGAGGGUAGGUGGAGAAGAAGCGCCGGCUAACUACGUGCCAGCAGCCGCGGUAAUACGCAGGGCGCGAGCGUUGUCCGGAAUUAUGGGGCGUAAAGGGCUUGUAGGCGGCUUGUUGCGCCUGCUGUGAAAACGCGGGGCUUAACUUCGCGCGUGCAGUGGGUACGGGCAGGCUUGAGUGUGGUAGGGGUGACUGGAAUUCCAGGUGUAGCGGUGGAAUGCGCAGAUAUCUGGAGGAACACCGAUGGCGAAGGCAGGUCACUGGGCCAUUACUGACGCUGAGGAGCGAAAGCAUGGGUAGCGAACAGG
This 420-nucleotide ribosomal RNA is filed under the name bacterium. RNAcentral's name for it is "partial 16S ribosomal RNA". It matches the Rfam family "Bacterial small subunit ribosomal RNA", at positions 355 to 776 of the family's 1533-position model. The record is from RNAcentral.